CCCCACCAAGUCCCUUCUCCAUCACAUUCAAACACUGGUCUAAGUGGAUAUAAAAAGAGGAAAAGUAUAUUUGAAACAUUUCUUUCUUUUCUUUUGACCCCUGAACUAGUUUCAAACAAGA
RNAcentral lists this small nucleolar RNA (121 nucleotides) under Echinops telfairi (small Madagascar hedgehog). Its description in RNAcentral is "Small nucleolar RNA SNORA61 (ENSETEG00000025803.1)". The record is from RNAcentral. Lineage: Eukaryota; Metazoa; Chordata; Mammalia; Afrosoricida; Tenrecidae.